GCGGCUGUGAUGGAAUGGAAGACAUGCGGGUCUAAGAAGCCCGUGCAGCGCAAGCUCAUUUGCGGGUUCGAGUCCCGCUGGCCGCA
RNAcentral lists this transfer RNA (86 nucleotides) under Paenibacillus oenotherae. Its description in RNAcentral is "tRNA-Leu". It matches the Rfam family "tRNA". From Rfam's summary of the family: Transfer RNA (tRNA) molecules are approximately 80 nucleotides in length. Lineage: Bacteria; Bacillati; Bacillota; Bacilli; Caryophanales; Paenibacillaceae. The record is from RNAcentral.